CCGUGGUGAGUUACCAUGCAAUUCAAUCUUUGGAUCACACAAUAUCCCAAACAGGCCAUGGCCAUGGAAUCAUGUCAAGCCCAAAUAUCUAUCUAUAUUUAUCUCGAUCUGAUGAUGAUAACUCGAUUGAUGAACUAGUAGAAAUCUUUUCUAUUGCUCAUCCUUACUCUGGGCAGAGACUCUCAAAGAUCAUUCUGUGAGAUCACAUAGGAUGUUCUCUCCUCCUACAAUAAGUGACCAUUUUUAUAUUGACCACUCACAACCUCC
This 267-nucleotide long non-coding RNA is filed under the name Elaeis guineensis (African oil palm). RNAcentral describes it as "long non-coding RNA (EGUI_LNC063158)". Lineage: Eukaryota; Viridiplantae; Streptophyta; Magnoliopsida; Arecales; Arecaceae. The record is from RNAcentral.